AUUGAACGCUGGCGGUAGGCCUAACACAUGCAAGUCGGGCGGAAACGAUGGAAGCUUGCUUUCAGGCGUCGAGCGGCGGACGGGUGAGUAACGCGUAGGAAUCUGCCUGGUAGUGGGGGAUAGCCCAGAGAAAUUUGGAUUAAUACCGCAUACGCCCUACGGGGGAAAGCAGGGGCUCUUCGGACCUUGCGCUAUCAGAUGAGCUUGCGUUGGAUUAGCUAGUUGGUGGGGUAAUGGCCCACCAAGGCGACGAUCCAUAGCUGGUCUGAGAGGAUGAUCAGCCACACUGGGACUGAGACACGGCCCAGACUCCUACGGGAGGCAGCAGUGGGGAAUAUUGGACAAUGGGCGCAAGCCUGAUCCAGCCAUACCGCGUGUGUGAAGAAGGCCCUUGGGUUGU
RNAcentral lists this ribosomal RNA (400 nucleotides) under uncultured Gammaproteobacteria bacterium. Its description in RNAcentral is "bacterial SSU rRNA". It matches the Rfam family "Bacterial small subunit ribosomal RNA", at positions 30 to 426 of the family's 1533-position model. The record is from RNAcentral. Lineage: Bacteria; Pseudomonadati; Pseudomonadota; Gammaproteobacteria.